This 278-nucleotide unclassified non-coding RNA is filed under the name Hymenoscyphus sp. RNAcentral describes it as "partial contains 5.8S ribosomal RNA, internal transcribed spacer 2, and large subunit ribosomal RNA". The stretch from base 1 to 71 matches the Rfam family "5.8S ribosomal RNA", at positions 84 to 154 of the family's 154-position model. Lineage: Eukaryota; Fungi; Ascomycota; Leotiomycetes; Helotiales; Helotiaceae. The record is from RNAcentral.
GUGAGUCAUCGAAUCUUUGAACGCACAUUGCGCCCUUUGGUAUUCCGAGGGGCAUGCCUGUUCGAGCGUCAUUAUAACCACUCAAGCCCCGGCUUGGUAUUGGGGUUCGCGGUCUCGCGGCCCUUAAAAUCAGUGGCGGUGCCAUCUGGCUCUCAGCGUAGUAGUUUAUCUCGCUAUUGGGUCCGGUGGUUGCUUGCCAAUAACCCCCAACUUUUCACGGUUGACCUCGGAUCAGGUAGGGAUACCCGCUGAACUUAAGCAUAUCAAUAAGCGGAGGA